RNAcentral lists this long non-coding RNA (293 nucleotides) under Nicotiana tabacum (common tobacco). RNAcentral's name for it is "long non-coding RNA (NTAB_LNC003824)". Lineage: Eukaryota; Viridiplantae; Streptophyta; Magnoliopsida; Solanales; Solanaceae. The record is from RNAcentral.
UCCCUUUAAUCAGGAUUAGGGUUUUUAAACCCUAAACUGAACUUUUCCCUUUAAUCAGGAUUAGGGUUUUAAACCCUAAACUGAACUUUUCCCUUUAGUCAGCAUUAGGGUUUUAAACCCUAAACUGAACUUUUCCCUUUAGUCAGCAUUAGGGUCUUAAACCCUAAACUGAACUUUUUCCAUUUAGUCAGCAGUAGGGUUUUAAACCCUAAACUAAACUCUUUCCAUUUAGUCAGCAUUAGGGUUUUAAACCCUAAACUGAACUCUUCCCUUUAGUCAGCAUUAGGGCCCCA